Gorilla gorilla gorilla (western lowland gorilla) is the source of this 79-nucleotide microRNA precursor. Lineage: Eukaryota; Metazoa; Chordata; Mammalia; Primates; Hominidae. The record is from Ensembl.
UUAGGUUAGUGUAAAAGUAAUUGUGGUUUUUGCCAUUGAAAGUAAUGGCAAAAACCCCAAUUAUUUUUGCACCAACCUA